UCUCCAGAGGCAACUUACCCCCUUGCAGGGUUGCUCGAUCGCUCUCUCACUCCCCGUCGAUCGAGUUGUCCGUGGCCAAAAGUUUCGCCCACAGAUCCCACCGGAUCCGAUCGUCUGUCACCGUAUUCCAGAUCCGGAGCCCUGGUUGUCGCCUUAAUAGUUCAAGACCGGAGCUCCUCUCGCCGGGGCUCCGAUGGAGGAGGCACUGGAGAUGGCGCGGGCCAAGGACACUAAGGAGCGGAUGGCUGGGGUGGAGCGGCUCCACCAGGUGCUGGAGAGCACCACCAGGAGCCUCUCCGUUUCCGAAGUAACCACCCUCGUCGAUGCCUGCAUGGAUCUCCUCAAGGACACCAACUUCCGGGUCUCCCAGGGCGCGCUCCACGCGCUGUCCGCCGCCGCAGUGCUCUCCGGCGAACACCUUAAGCUCCACUUCAACGGGAUCGUACCGGCCGUCGUCGAGAGGCUCGGUGACGGGAAGCAGCCCGUGCGGGACGCCGCGCGGCAGUUUCUGGUCACUCUCAUGGAGGUUUCCUCCCCAACAAUCAUUGUUGAAAGAGCUGGUAGUUACGCAUGGACACACAGGAGUUGGAGAGUGCGAGAAGAGUUUGCACGAACUGUUACUACAGCUAUUGGACUUUUUGCUUCAACUGAGCUCCCUCUUCAGCGAGUCCUUCUUCCUCCUGUUUUGCAGUUGUUGACUGACUCCAACCAAAGUGUUAGAGAUGCUGCUACUUCAUGCAUAGAGGAGAUGUAUACACAGGUUGGACCUCAGUUUCGUGAGGAAUUGCACCGUCACCAUCUUCCUUCUUCCAUGAUGAAAGAGAUUAAUAUCAGGUUAGAAAAAAUAGAACCGAAGAUCCAGCCGUCGGAUAGAAUUGGAAGUCCUCACAUUUCAGCUGAAACUAGAUCAUCUUCUGCAAGCCAUAAGAAGAGCAGCCCAAAGAACAAGAUAGCUCCCAAAGAAACUUCAUUUUCUAGUGGUGAAAUUGAUGCUACUGAAAAGCUUGUGGCACCUAUUAAAGUGUACUCUGAAAAGGAGCUGAACAAGGAAAUGGAAAGAAUUGCAUCUACACUAGUGCCAGACAAAGAUUGGUCACUUCGCAUUGCUGCUAUGCAGAGAGUUGAAGGCCUUGUCUUUGGAGGCGCUGCUGAUUAUCCAUCUUUUCUUACACUCCUAAAGCAACUAGCAACUCCUCUAAGCACUCAGCUAUUGGAUCGACGUUCUAGCAUUGUGAAACAGGCCUGCCAUCUUCUGAGCUUAUUAUCCAAGGAACUAUUGGGGGACUUUGAAACUUGUGCUGAGAUGUUCAUUCCGGUACUUUUAAAGCUUGUUGUAAUAACUGUCCUUGUGAUCGCUGAGUCUGCAGAUACCUGCAUAAAAACAAUCCUGCGUAAUUGUAAAGUUGCCCGUAUACUCCCUCGGAUAGCUGAUACUGCAAAGAAUGACAAGAGUGCAGUUCUUCGUGCUAGGUGUUGUGAUUAUGCACUUCUAGUACUGGAGUACUGGGCUGAUGCUCUGGAAAUACACCGUUCAGCAGACCUCUAUGAAGAUCUAAUCAAAUGUUGUGUUGCAGAUGCAAUGAGUGAGGUUCGUUCAACUGCCCGAACUUGCUAUCGGAUGUUUACCAAAACAUGGCCAGAGCGUUCCCAGCGACUUUUUUUGUCAUUUGAACCAGCAAUACAAAGGAUAAUAAAUGAAGAGGAUGGAGGAUUACAUAAAAGAUAUGCUUCUCCUUCCCUUCGUGAAAGGGGAGUGCAGUUAACUCAUGCCCCAUCACGAACCACUAUUACAAGUGUAACUGGAUAUGGUACCUCUUCUAUUGUUGCAAUGGACAAGAGUGCAACUGUUUCUACAGGGACAUCUCUUUCCUCAGCUAGCUUCCUAUCACAAUCAAAGACACUUGGGAAAAAUACAGAAAGAACCCUUGAGACUGUGCUUCAUUCAAGCAAACAGAAGGUGUCAGCUAUUGAAAGUUUAUUGAAAGGUGUGAGUUUAUUGGGGAAGCAAAACUUCUCUAGUGCACGCUCAACCAGUUUGGAUCUAGGAGUUGAUGCUCCAUCUACCUGUGAUCCAUCAGUUUCUGCUAGUUUUCCUUCUUCAAAUCUUUUCUCUAUACAGAGUUCAUCAUUGGUUGGUUCAACAAUUGAAAACAUUACGAAAGGCAGUAAUAGAAAUGGUGGUUCAAACAAGUCCGAGCUACUGACUUCCCAGGUCCAAUUGACUAGAGACCCUUCAAAAUUCUCUUACCUCAGUGAUAUAACAUCUGAUACCCUAUCCUCUUUGUCAUUAUCUCAUGUGAAAAGAUCUGACCAGUUGCAAGAAGGAAGUGGUAGAGAAGAUAAUGUUGAUCUCAGGUUAAGUAGGCCAAUUUCAAAUAUGCAAAUUGAUAAACAGUAUAUGGAGAUCCCGUACAAAGAUUCUCUCUAUAGGGACUCACCAUGUAGUUACAUUCCUAACUUUCAGCGCCCUCUUCUAAGGAAGCAGGUGACAGGAAGGACUAUUACAAAUAGAAACAGUUUUGAUGAUGGCCAAAUCCCAUCAAGUGUAACAUCUAGCUGCAUGGAUGGUCCAGCAUCGCUAAAUGAUGCACUUACAGAGGGACUAAGUGCUAGCUCAGAUUGGGUAGCUAGGGUUUCUGCCUUUAAUUAUCUCCGAAAUUUGUUGCAGCAAGGCCCAAGAGGUAUUUUAGAAAUUACACAGAAUUUUGAGAAGGUUAUGAAAUUAUUCUUUCGGUACUUGGAUGAUCCUCACCAUAAAGUUGCACAGGCAACUUUUUCAACCCUUGCAGAGAUCAUUCCAGCAUGCAGAAGGCCUUUUGAGAGUUACCUAGAAAGGACCUUACCACAUGUCUUUUCAAGAUUAAUUGACCCAAAGGAACUGGUUAGGCAACCAUGUUCAACAACAUUGGAGAUAGUUGGUAAGGUGUACAAUGUUGAUUCUCUUCUUCCAGCAUUUAUUCGUUCUUUGGAUGAGCAGAGGUCUCCAAAAGCAAAGUUAGCUGUUCUUCAGUUUGCGAAUAAUUCCUUCAGUAAACAUACAAUAAACUCCGAUAAUUAUAGUAAUAAUGGCUUUCUUAAGCUAUGGCUUGGUAAGUUAGCACCUUUGGUAAAUGAAAAAAAUGUGAGGCUUAAGGAAGCAUCAAUCGCUGUCAUCAUAUCAGUUUACUCCCAUUUUGAUUCAACAUCAGUCUUGAAUUUUAUUCUGAGUCUUUCCAUUGAAGAACAAAACUCAUUGAGACGGGCACUUAAGCAGUACACACCCCGUAUAGAAGUUGAUCUUAUGAACUUCUUGCAGAAUAAGAAAGAACGCCAACGUUCAAAAUCCUUUUAUGAUCAAUCAGAUGGUGUUGGAACUUCUUCCGAGGAAGGUUAUUUUUGUGGAUCAAAGAAAGGCCCUCAUCUCAGUCGUUAUUCAGUUGAUGGUGAUAGUGGGAGGAAGCAGAGUUUGAAUCAGGAAACUAUCAAUGUUGAUGCCUCUAUUUGUUAUAUGGCUUCUGAUGAAAUUAGUUAUUCCUCCAAGAACCUUGAUGGUUACACUUCUGACCCUUCAUUGCAAGGUACUGGGUCAGGUACUAAGUGCUUAAAGAAAACAAAUUAUAUAUUUGAGCAUGAGAGUUCUGUGUCAACACCACGUCUAGAUAUCAGUAGACUGGUCAGUUCCAAUGAACAUAAAGCUAUUGACUUGAAUCAUGGUGGUGGAAAUAGUAAAGAUUCUGAGCUCAAUCAUGAGACGCUUAGUUCUGCAACAGUGAACUGCCAUGUAGAUCUUGGGCCUAGCAUUCCCCAACUUCUUCAUCAGAUUUGCAAUGCAAGUGAUGUUAACUCAAGUUCAGACAAAAGGGUGGCACUGCAGCAGUUGGUUGAAGUUUCGCUAAAUAAUGAUAGCUCUAUCUGGACAAAGUAUUUCAAUCAGAUCUUGACUGCUGUGCUUGAUGUGUUAGAUGAUUCUGAUCCUUCAAUACGGGAGGUUGCUCUUUCUCUGAUUUUUAGAAUGCUUAAUAAUCAGAAAAACGAGAUGAAAGAUUCUGUUGAAAUUGUUAUUGAAAAACUGAUUCAUGUCACUAAAGAUGUGUUCGUGAAGGUCUCAAAUGAAGCUAACCAAUGCUUGAAUAUUGUCUUAUCUGAAUUCGAUCCACUUAGAUUCCUUAAUGUCAUUGGACCUUUAUUGAUCAGCGAUGAUGAAAAGACCCUGGUUAUUUGCAUCAACUGUUUAACCAAGGUUGUUGGCCGACUUCCACAUGAAGAUUUGAUGAAACAUUUGCCAUCAUUUUUGCCUGCCUUGUUUGAUGCAUUUGGAAACCAAAGUACAGAUGUGAGGAAGACUGUUGUUUUCUGUUUGGUGGAAAUUUACAUCCUACUUGGCAAGUCAUUUUUACCAUAUUUGGAGGGCCUUAGUAGCACACAGUUACGCCUCGUGACAAUCUAUGCCAACCGAAUUUCCCAAGCAAGAUCUGGAGCUCCAGUUGAUGCUAACAAUUGAGUAUGUGUUGUUUUGUCUUGUUUGUUCUGGGUGUUUGUAUAGUGUAAUGACAUUCCCAAUCAUUGGGGUUAGUAAGGUUUUUCUGAUUGAUUGGUUCUCAGGGUUUGGUGGGGAUGAGUGAGGGCUUAUUGUUGCCGUACAUAAGCAUGUACCUCAAGCUUCUAUGGAUCUUGUAAUACUGGGUGCUCGGUGAUCACAGAUCUGAUUGGUUAGUAAUGGUGAUGUCGUCCCCGAUGUGGAAUGUACAAGUUAGCCUAUUAAUAGCAUGACUGAACCAGUGUGGAUUGUUGAGAUGAAUGCUGUCAUUUUGGUGCUAAUGCAAAUAUAACUUACAUAAAGGAAGAACAUCAAACAGGUGAAUGCUGACAAUCUGUUGCUAGAGCAAUUGGAUAAGAAUGAUUUUGGUAUGAUCCCUGAAAGUUCCACAGCUGCCUAUUUUGGUAUGACUGUAAUGACAAAUCCUUUUCUUGUUUGUGAAACUUCUUAUGUUCUGCCAAUUUAUAAAAUUCAUGUUUUGUUUUGAGUAAAUGUGUUUCUCUAGGACCUGUGCACCCUCAGGUGCUAUGAGAAAUUGUGGCAUUUAUGUGUUAUUCCUCAUAUGAAGUUUAUCAGCAUCAAAACGUGUUUCAUUUUCAUCGGGUGAGGGAGUAUUGAUCAUUUUGAUGAGGAUCAAAGUGCAUUUGACACUCAUAACUUUGACCAGUAAUUCAUGGUGACUUAUUCUAGAAGACAAGGUUGAGUUCCAACAAUCAAACAAAGGGAGAAAUUUUGAUUGAUGAUCAUUUUAGCCUUGAUCUUAAACCAACACUUGGAAUGCUUUUCUGAGGUAUGCAUUUGCAGGUCAGAUGUUUUUAGCUUAGGAUUAUAUGAUAUGUGUCAUUUAGGAAAUACUUGCUGAAUGUCUCAACUAUCCAAGUGGUAUUUAAGAUGGAAAGGAAAACCACAAGAAGAUCUGUAUGUAAAUUGCAGAGGGUCCCAACUCCAGUGGACUGAGAUUUUCUGUAAUUGCAUAGAUCAUGGGGUUCAUAAAUUUUCAUAUCAGAAAUAUGAUUUGCCUUAUCACAAUGCUUAACUUUGGAAUCCGACGAGGCACGUGAGGGCCUUCGUAGUGGUUUUCCUUUCUCAAAUCUAGAUGUCUUGAUCCUCUUGUUACUAUCUUCAUAUUCAUUUUCUCUUCUGCUUUUGCUAGUAAAUUUGUUCUUUUUAUUUUUGCCCAUGAUUUCUCGAAUCUUCUCCAAGUCUUUUUCGAUUUUCAAAGCUCUUUCUACUGUAUCAACAUAUGUUUGUAGUUUUAAGGCUGACAUUCGACUUCUUGUUGCUGGUCGUAAUCCCCUUUCAAACCUUUUUGUUUUUCUAGAUUCAUCAUCAGUCAUAUGUGUGGCAAACCUAGAGAGCUCAGUGAAUGGCAUUCGUUGUUGUAAUUGCAUAGAUUAUGAGGUUCAUAAAUUUUCAUAAAUUUGCCUUAUCAUAAAUUUUCAUAUCAUAAAUUUUUAGCAUUACAUGAUGUUUACAUUCCCCGUAGUAUCCGACGAGGCACGUGAGGGCCUCCGUUGUAGCUUCGUUCCCCGGGAAAAGGUCUGUCGUCCACGUGGAGCGAUAUUGGAGUGUGGAUCUAAAAGCUUGCCAGGAUGAGUAUGAGUGGUGUCGAUAUGGGCCCGAAGAAUAAGUCUGCCUUUAAAGUAAGAGGAUUUAGUCGGCCCAAAAUAUAUAUGAUUUGAUCCAGUCGAUGGACGGUCAGGAUUAAUGUUGUGAAAUGGAUGAACGGUUGCCUAUAACUGUUGGUAAAACUUUUAUAGACGGGUCGAUGACAAUCAGCAUGGUUCGAGCCGUUCAUCAACGGCAUGAUCCACCUCCCAGCUGCUGCGGAACGAAGCGCGCCUCCCCUUCGCCACCCUCACCGCCGUCGUCACCGCUCUCCGCCGCCACCUCCGCCUCGCCGGUGACCUUGGUUCUCUUCCCCUCGCCCGCCAGUCUCACGCCGCCGCCAGCACCCUCGGCCUUCGCUGCCACCCCCUCGUCUCCUCUGCCCUCAUUUCUGCAUACUCCCUUCUCCGCCUCCCUUCCCUUUCACUCCUCGUCGUCUUCCGCCACCAUCAGCAGCCAGACCUUUUCCUCUACAAUUCUCUCCUUGCUGCCUUCUCCCGCAACGGCCUCUUCGCCGAGACCAUUUCUUUCUUCCGCCAGUUGAGUCUCCGGCUCUCGCCCGACCAAUUUUCCCUCUCAAUCGCCGCCGAGCUCGCUGAAUUGAGAACCGGGCGGGGUUCCACUCCCUCGCCAUUGGGCUCGGUUUUGACGCUGACAUGAUACUCUCAAAUUCGCUGAUGUUAAUGUAUUUCAGACGUAAGUGCGCAACUGAUGCUUAUUGCCUAUUUGAUAAAAUGCCUGCAAGAAGUGUGGCUUCUUGGAAUGCUUUGAUUCUGGAGUUGGCUGAAAUGGUGGAUGUCAUAGACGUGGCAGGAAUGUGGGAACUUGUGAGGCAGAUGCAAUCAGAAGCCAUGAAACCAGAUUCAUUCACGAUAUCUACUAUCCUUACUUUGUGCAGUUUUGAUGAUUGGAGCCAGAAGCGUGGGACAGAGAUACAUUGCUUUGUUUUGAGAAAUAACUUGGGUAUGGAUUAUGAUUUCCAUGUAAGGAGUUGUUUAAUAGAUAUGUAUUCAAGGGUGAGGCGAGUGGAUUUGGGAAGGUGAGUUUUUGAUGGUAUAACUUCAAAAAAUGUGGUGGUCUGUACAGCUAUGGUUGCUGGGUAUGUUGAGAAUGGAGAGGAUGUGGAAUCUCUUAAGCUUUUCCAAGAGAUGACUCAGAGAGAUCGUACAAUGCCAAACAAGAUCACUUUGGUAACUAUCCUACCGGCAGUUGGAUCGCUUGCAAGCUUGGUCGAAGGAAAGCAAAUUCAUGGUUUUGCCAAGUUAAAUAGUGAGACUUCUUUGAACAAUGCUUUAAUCGAUAUGUACUCCAAAUGCGGAACCAUGCAUCGUGCAAGAUGCAUCUUUGAUGAUGAGUCCUGGAAGAAAGAUAUCAUCUCUUGGAGCUCAAUGAUAUCAUGUUAUGGAAUCCAUGGCAAGGGAGAUCAAGCUAUUACUUUUUUUAGAAAAUUGAGUAGUGUUAAUUUCAAACUUAAUUAUAUAACGAGUUUGGCUAUUUUAUCGGCUUGUGCUAGGGGUGGCCUAGCAAUGGAAGGUCUUGAGAUCUGUAAUUCUUUGGUCAAGAAUCAUGCAGUUAUGCCUA
This is an RNA transcript of Musa acuminata AAA Group (dessert banana), 7705 nucleotides long. It is a transcript of the gene named CLIP-associated protein-like, with no coding region annotated. The transcript has 24 exons. The record is from RefSeq and is a predicted model, not a curated record. NCBI's taxonomy places the organism in Eukaryota, Viridiplantae, Streptophyta, Magnoliopsida, Zingiberales, Musaceae.